UGGGGAAUAUUGCGCAAUGGGGGCAACCCUGACGCAGCCAUGCCGCGUGAAUGAAGAAGGCCUUCGGGUUGUAAAGUUCUUUCGGUGGUGAGGAAGGCUUAAGUGUUAAUAGCACUUAAGAUUGACGUUAGCCACAGAAGAAGCACCGGCUAACUCCGUGCCAGCAGCCGCGGUAAUACGGAGGGUGCGAGCGUUAAUCGGAAUGACUGGGCGUAAAGGGCACGCAGGCGGAUUGUUAAGUGAGAUGUGAAAGCCCCGGGCUUAACCUGGGAAUUGCAUUUCAGACUGGCAAUCUAGAGUAUUUUAGGGAGGGGUAGAAUUCCACGUGUAGCGGUGAAAUGCGUAGAGAUGUGGAGGAAUACCGAAGGCGAAGGCAGCCCCUUGGGAAUAUACUGACGCUCAUGUGCGAAAGCGUGGGGAGCAAACAG
This 428-nucleotide ribosomal RNA is filed under the name uncultured bacterium. Its description in RNAcentral is "bacterial SSU rRNA". It matches the Rfam family "Bacterial small subunit ribosomal RNA", at positions 355 to 775 of the family's 1533-position model. The record is from RNAcentral.